This 617-nucleotide ribosomal RNA is filed under the name uncultured fungus. RNAcentral describes it as "eukaryotic LSU rRNA". It matches the Rfam family "Eukaryotic large subunit ribosomal RNA", at positions 24 to 664 of the family's 3401-position model. Lineage: Eukaryota; Fungi. The record is from RNAcentral.
CCCGCUGAACUUAAGCAUAUCAAUAAGCGGAGGAAAAGAAACCAACAGGGAUUGCCCUAGUAACGGCGAGUGAAGCGGCAACAGCUCAAAUUUGAAAUCUGGCCCUCGGGUCCGAGUUGUAAUUUGUAGAGGAUGCUUUUGGCGCGGUGCCUUCCGAGUUCCCUGGAACGGGACGCCUUAGAGGGUGAGAGCCCCGUACGGUUGGACACCAAGCCUCUGUAAAGCUCCUUCGACGAGUCGAGUAGUUUGGGAAUGCUGCUCUAAAUGGGAGGUAAAUUUCUUCUAAAGCUAAAUAUUGGCCAGAGACCGAUAGCGCACAAGUAGAGUGAUCGAAAGAUGAAAAGCACUUUGAAAAGAGGGUUAAAUAGCACGUGAAAUUGUUGAAAGGGAAGCGUUUGCGACCAGACUUUUUCCUAGCGGAUCAUCCGGUGUUAUCACCGGUGCACUUUGCUAGGUCAAGGCCAGCAUCGGUUUCCGUAGGGGGAUAAAAGCUUGGGGAAUGUAGCUCCCUCGGGAGUGUUAUAGCCCCUCGCAUAAUACCCUUAUGGGGACCGAGGACCGCGCUUUUUGCAAGGAUGCUGGCGUAAUGGUUGUCAACGACCCGUCUUGAAACACGG